This is an RNA transcript of Nomascus leucogenys (northern white-cheeked gibbon), 1767 nucleotides long. It is a transcript of the gene named inhibitor of growth protein 2 pseudogene, with no coding region annotated. The transcript has a single exon. Lineage: Eukaryota; Metazoa; Chordata; Mammalia; Primates; Hylobatidae. The record is from RefSeq and is a predicted model, not a curated record.
CUGUUCAGGCAGCAGAGUGGGCUUAGGGAAUGUUGACAGGCAUGGGUUUCCCUUCUCAACCUGCUUUGAAAGAAGAGCCAAGGGCGUUCCCGCGGGCCUGGAAAAUGGCUGGUCGCGAGAGGGGCGGCGGCGAGCCGGAUGCUGGGGAGAGAGUCGGGGCUGUGCGGGGGCGUUGGUUCGGCCCCAGCGGAAUCCGAGUCGGGGUUUGCAGCAUGUUUUGCGGUGAUGUUUCCAGUCUCUUUCCCAACCAAUGGAUCAGGACGGCGAUCAGCAUCUCGGACCGUCGCGGAUCCUGGCUCCACAAACGUUAAAGGAAAUUGAUGAUGUCUAUGAAAAAUAUAAGAAAGAAGAUGAUUUAAACCAGAAGAAACGUCUACAGCAGCUUCUCCAGAGAGCACUAAUUAAUAGUCAAGAAUUGGGAGAUGAAAAAAUACAGAUUGUUACACAAAUGCUCGAAUUGGUGGAAAAUCGGGCAAGACAAAUGGAGUUACAUUCACAGUGUUUCCAAGAUCCUGCUGAAAGUGAACGAGCCUCAGAUAAAGCAAAGAUGGAUUCCAGCCAACCAGAAAGAUCUUCAAGAAGACCCCGCAGACAGCGGACCCGUGAAAGCCGUGAUUUAUGUCACAUGGCAAAUGGGACUGAAGACUGUGAUGAUCGGCCACCUAAAGAAAAGAAAUCCAAGUCAGCAAAGAAAAAGAAACGCUCCAAGGCCAAGCAGGAAAGGGAAGCUUCACCUGUUGAGUUUGCAAUAGAUCCUAAUGAACCUACAUACUGUUUAUGCAACCAAGUGUCUUACGGGGAGAUGAUAGGAUGUGACAAUGAACAGUGUCCAAUUGAAUGGUUUCACUUUUCAUGUGUUUCACUUACCUAUAAACCAAAGGGGAAAUGGGUAUUGCCCAAAGUGCAGGGGAGAUAAUGAGAAAACAAUGGACAAAAGUACUGAAAAGACAAAAAAGGAUAGAAGAUCGAGGUAGUAAAGGCCAUCCACAUUUUAAAGGGUUAUUUGUCUUUUAUAUAAUUCGUUUACUUUCAGAAAAUGUUUUAGGGUAAAUGCAUAAGACUAUGCAAUAAUUUUUAAUCAUUAGUAUUAAUGGUGUAUUAAAAGUUGUUGUACUUUGAAAAAAAAAAAAAAAAAGAAGAAAGAAGAGCCAAGGACAGCACACCCUGUCAGGGAAACAGACAGUGCUGGAAUUGGGUGACUUUGAGGAAAGUUCAUACACAAGGGACUGUUUCCAAAAGUGUGGGUGUCUGGAAAGCAGUGUUGAUAGAAUAAUGUCCCCUCAAGGGGCCCACAUCUGAAUGCCUGGUCUUGUGCAUGUCACCUUCGCAUGGCACCAGCACCCUCGCCAAUGGGACUUGGGACAGGAUCUUCAGGUGGGGAGAGGCCGUGAUGAGCCAGGCAGAUGCAGCAUCAUCCCAGAGUCCCUCCAUGCAGGAGGGAGGGGUCAGGGGAAGAAGUGUGACAGCAGCAGCAGGACCGGGAGAGCAGAUGCUGAGUGGAGACCAGGAGGGGAGGACCGGGCAGCAGCCCAGGGCCUUGGGCAGCCUGGGAAGUCCGAGAAGGCAGGAGGAGCCCCCAGCAGGAGCCUGCCCUGCCCAGACCUUGACUUUCGCCCAGCAAGACUGAUUUUCAGUUUUGUCUUCCAGGACAGGAGGGUAAUAAGUUUGUGCUGCUUGAGACUGCCAGGUUGGGGUGAGACCUUAAAGCAGUGUCAAGAAACACAUGCAGGCAGGAACCGGAGGCUAUCCCCAUCCAGCCAUGACCGG